This 369-nucleotide ribosomal RNA is filed under the name uncultured Psychrobacter sp. RNAcentral's name for it is "bacterial SSU rRNA". It matches the Rfam family "Bacterial small subunit ribosomal RNA", at positions 448 to 813 of the family's 1533-position model. Lineage: Bacteria; Pseudomonadati; Pseudomonadota; Gammaproteobacteria; Moraxellales; Moraxellaceae. The record is from RNAcentral.
CUCCAUGGUUAAUACCCAUGGACGAUGACAUUAGCUGCAGAAUAAGCACCGGCUAACUCUGUGCCAGCAGCCGCGGUAAUACAGAGGGUGCAAGCGUUAAUCGGAAUUACUGGGCGUAAAGCGAGCGUAGGUGGCUUGAUAAGUCAGAUGUGAAAGCCCCGGGCUUAACCUGGGAACGGCAUCUGAUACUGUUAGGCUAGAGUAGGUGAGAGGAAGGUAGAAUUCCAGGUGUAGCGGUGAAAUGCGUAGAGAUCUGGAGGAAUACCGAUGGCGAAGGCAGCCUUCUGGCAUCAUACUGACACUGAGGUUCGAAAGCGUGGGUAGCAAACAGGAUUAGAUACCCUGGUAGUCCACGCCGUAAACGAUGUC